RNAcentral lists this ribosomal RNA (376 nucleotides) under uncultured bacterium. RNAcentral's name for it is "bacterial SSU rRNA". It matches the Rfam family "Bacterial small subunit ribosomal RNA", at positions 524 to 898 of the family's 1533-position model. The record is from RNAcentral.
UACAGAGGUGCCAAGCGUUAGGCGGAAUCACUGGGCUUAAAGCGCGCGUAGGCGGAUGUUUAAGUGUCUUGUGAAAUCCCACGGCUCAACCGUGGAACUGCUGGGCAUACUGGACAUCUCGAGGCACUCAGGGGCGAGCGGAACAAGUGGUGGAGCGGUGAAAUGCGUAGAUAUCACUUGGAACGCCAAUGGUGAAGACAGCUCGCUGGGGGUGUCCUGACGCUGAGGCGCGAAAGCCAGGGGAGCGAACGGGAUUAGAUACCCCGGUAGUCCUGGCCCUAAACGAUGUCCACUAGAUCAUGGCGGCUCUGACGCCGUCAUGGUCGGAGCAAAAGUGUUAAGUGGACCGCCUGGGAAGUACGGUCGCAAGGCUAAA